GGGAGACCCUGGAAUUCAAGGAUACCAUGGGAGGAAGGGGGAGAAGGGAAGAGCUGGUGAUCCCGGGCUUCCUGGAUUCCUAGGACAGAAGGGAGAGAAGGGAGAUGCUGGCAAUGCACUCGGGGGAGGUAAAGGGGAACCCGGACACCCGGGACUACCUGGGCCUCCAGGACCAAAGGGGGAAGCUGGUGACAUUGGCCAGACUGGAAUUGCAGGACCGCAGGGGGAAAAGGGAGAACCUGGAGCACCCGGAGAACUGGGGCCUGUUGGUCCAAGGGGUCCCAAAG
Molecule: long non-coding RNA, 287 nt
Filed under: Gopherus agassizii (Agassiz's desert tortoise)
Lineage: Eukaryota; Metazoa; Chordata; Testudines; Testudinidae
Description: lncRNA (ENSGAGG00000015001.1)
Source: RNAcentral